RNAcentral lists this ribosomal RNA (516 nucleotides) under Saccharomyces cerevisiae (brewer's yeast). Its description in RNAcentral is "partial large subunit ribosomal RNA". It matches the Rfam family "Eukaryotic large subunit ribosomal RNA", at positions 122 to 652 of the family's 3401-position model. Lineage: Eukaryota; Fungi; Ascomycota; Saccharomycetes; Saccharomycetales; Saccharomycetaceae. The record is from RNAcentral.
CUGGUACCUUCGGUGCCCGAGUUGUAAUUUGGAGAGGGCAACUUUGGGGCCGUUCCUUGUCUAUGUUCCUUGGAACAGGACGUCAUAGAGGGUGAGAAUCCCGUGUGGCGAGGAGUGCGGUUCUUUGUAAAGUGCCUUCGAAGAGUCGAGUUGUUUGGGAAUGCAGCUCUAAGUGGGUGGUAAAUUCCAUCUAAAGCUAAAUAUUGGCGAGAGACCGAUAGCGAACAAGUACAGUGAUGGAAAGAUGAAAAGAACUUUGAAAAGAGAGUGAAAAAGUACGUGAAAUUGUUGAAAGGGAAGGGCAUUUGAUCAGACAUGGUGUUUUGUGCCCUCUGCUCCUUGUGGGUAGGGGAAUCUCGCAUUUCACUGGGCCAGCAUCAGUUUUGGUGGCAGGAUAAAUCCAUAGGAAUGUAGCUUGCCUCGGUAAGUAUUAUAGCCUGUGGGAAUACUGCCAGCUGGGACUGAGGACUGCGACGUAAGUCAAGGAUGCUGGCAUAAUGGUUAUAUGCCGCCCGU